GAUGAACGCUGGCGGCGUGCUUAACACAUGCAAGUCGCGCGGGAGCUUGUGGAUAGCUGCCUCUCCCCGAGAUCACUAGUCAGACUGGUGAAUGAGGGGUAACCGCCUUACCAUCCUCCCUAUGAUAGCGCGAUAGCCUCGGGACACCGGGCUUAAUACCGCAUUUAACCGUAUAAGCACAUGUUUCAACGGUCAAAGAUUGAUCGGUCAUAGAUGGGCUCGCGUCUGAUUAGCUAGUUGGUGAGCUAACAGCCCACCAAGGCGACGAUCAGUAGCCGGUCUGAGAGGAUGAACGGCCACAUGGGAACUGAGACACGGUCCAAUCUCGUACGGGAGGCAGCGGGGGGGAAUAUGGCACAGUGAGGUAAAGCGUGGUGUGGCGACGCUGCGUGAAGUAAGAAGGUAUUCGGAGCGGAAAGUGCGGUCCUAGGGGAAGUUUUUGACAGUACCAUAGGAAAAAGCACCGGCUAAUUCCGUG
Molecule: ribosomal RNA, 478 nt
Filed under: uncultured bacterium
Lineage: Bacteria
Description: partial 16S ribosomal RNA
Rfam family: Bacterial small subunit ribosomal RNA
Source: RNAcentral